This 61-nucleotide transfer RNA is filed under the name Gymnomitrion concinnatum. RNAcentral describes it as "partial tRNA-Leu". It matches the Rfam family "tRNA", at positions 23 to 71 of the family's 71-position model. From Rfam's summary of the family: Transfer RNA (tRNA) molecules are approximately 80 nucleotides in length. Their secondary structure includes four short double-helical elements and three loops (D, anti-codon, and T loops). RNAcentral also lists the same sequence under 30 other names. Lineage: Eukaryota; Viridiplantae; Streptophyta; Jungermanniopsida; Jungermanniales; Gymnomitriaceae. The record is from RNAcentral.
GCUACGGACUGAAAAUCCGUUGGCUUUUUAGACCGUGAGGGUUCAAGUCCCUCUACCCCCA